RNAcentral lists this ribosomal RNA (430 nucleotides) under uncultured bacterium. RNAcentral's name for it is "partial 16S ribosomal RNA". It matches the Rfam family "Bacterial small subunit ribosomal RNA", at positions 29 to 506 of the family's 1533-position model. The record is from RNAcentral.
AACGAACGCUGGCGGCAGGCUUAACACAUGCAAGUCGAACGCCCCGCAAGGGGAGUGGCAGACGGGUGAGUAACGCGUGGGAACAUACCCUUUUCUACGGAAUAGCUCUGGGAAACUGGAAUUAAUACCGUAUACGCCCUACGGGGGAAAGAUUUAUCGGGGAAGGAUUGGCCCGCGUUGGAUUAGCUAGUUGGUGGGGUAAAGGCCUACCAAGGCGACGAUCCAUAGCUGGUCUGAGAGGAUGAUCAGCCACAUUGGGACUGAGACACGGCCCAAACUCCUACGGGAGGCAGCAGUGGGGAAUAUUGGACAAUGGGCGCAAGCCUGAUCCAGCCAUGCCGCGUGAGUGAUGAAGGCCUUAGGGUUGUAAAGCUCUUUCACCGAUGAAGAUAAUGACGGUAGUCGGAGAAGAAACCCCGGCUAACUUCGU